UGAACACUGCUUUCUGGAUGUUCAUGAAGUUUUUGAUUUCAUAAAUAAGUUGUCAUUUCUUAAUGGAUUGGCAGUCCUAUGUUUCCAUAUUAAUCUUUUUAUGCAUCCGGAGAAGGAAGAAAAAGGGGGAAUUUUCCAAAGCCUCUGAUCUCCCUUGUGGUUUGUACUUGGUUUGUGAUACUUGCUUCUGAAAAGUCAAAAGAAGAAAAUCUAUGCAUG
RNAcentral lists this unclassified non-coding RNA (219 nucleotides) under Hevea brasiliensis (rubber tree). Lineage: Eukaryota; Viridiplantae; Streptophyta; Magnoliopsida; Malpighiales; Euphorbiaceae. The record is from RNAcentral.